This 253-nucleotide ribosomal RNA is filed under the name uncultured bacterium. RNAcentral describes it as "partial 16S ribosomal RNA". It matches the Rfam family "Bacterial small subunit ribosomal RNA", at positions 524 to 776 of the family's 1533-position model. The record is from RNAcentral.
UACGGAGGAUGCAAGCGUUAUCCGGAAUGAUUGGGCGUAAAGCGUCCGCAGGUGGCAAUGUAAGUCUGCUGUUAAAGAGUCUAGCUCAACUAGAUAAAAGCAGUGGAAACUACAUAGCUAGAGUACGUUCGGGGCAGAGGGAAUUCCUGGUGUAGCGGUGAAAUGCGUAGAGAUCAGGAAGAACACCAGUGGCGAAGGCGCUCUGCUAGGCCGUAACUGACACUGAGAAGCGAAAGCAUGGGGAGCGAACAGG